RNAcentral lists this unclassified non-coding RNA (6177 nucleotides) under Nilaparvata lugens (brown planthopper). RNAcentral describes it as "neurexin-4, transcript variant X3". Lineage: Eukaryota; Metazoa; Arthropoda; Insecta; Hemiptera; Delphacidae. The record is from RNAcentral.
UUUCGUAGGUGAGACUAGUAAACGAAGAGAUCCGGUUUGAACUGGUUCCCGACGUGACAAAGAACGUGACUCAUCUAACCACCCUCAAGUACGAGAACAAGGGGGCGUGGCAUACCGUAGAGCUGAACUACACCAGAGGAGAACUUGGCCUGGCUGUUGAUUUCAAACACAAAGAAGCCGAUCUCUACGGAUUGAAAUUCAAAAUGAGCAAAAAAGUUAUCAUUGGAAGUGGGAUUGGAGCCAAAGCUAGUCUUGGGCUGAUUGGAUGUAUGCGGGAAAUAAUAAUCAAUGGUGUACAGAUGGAACCGCGCUACUUAGUGCGUACUCAUCACACUGUGGGACAGGUAUCUCUGGACAACUGCCAGCUGGUUGACCCGUGCAAGCGGCCGAACGCGUGUGAACACGGCGGCAAGUGUCAGGUGAAGGAUGACCGACUCACCUGCGACUGCAAGGGCACCGGAUACAUCGGCAAGAACUGCCACUUCGCGAAAUUUCGUAAAACUUGCGAAGAACUCGCUCUGCUCGGCUACUCUAAGCCCGACGUCUACCUGAUCGACAUUGACGGAAACGGACGAUUUCCGCCCGCCCAUGUCAAGUGUGAGUUCCAGUCGCUGGAAAACUCAACGAAAACUAUCGUCGAACACAAUCUGCCCAGUCAAGUGGACGUACGCAGCCUGGCGGAAAACGACUUCAGUUUCACGAUCACCUACCGCGAGUUCACCUCAGAGAUGUUGCAAGAGUUGAUCUCUCACUCGCUCUACUGCAGUCAGUACAUAAAGUACGACUGCUACAAGGCUCCCUUGGAGCUGCAUUCGGCCACUUGGUUCAUAUCAGCUGCUCACAAUGGCACUGUUGACUACCUGGGCAACGUGAAGAGAGGGUCUUGUCCCUGUGCUGUGAACCGAACCUGUGUGAACCCAGACCUGUCAUGCAACUGCGACGUGUCGGAAGGCAAGUGGCUGUCAGACGAGGGCUUCUACAUUUCGCCGGACAGUCUGGGCGUGACGCAGAUGGUCUUCUUGCAGCAGAAGGACCUCGACGAGGACGCUCUCGGCAGGAUUACCCUGGGGCCACUCGAGUGUGUCGAAACAAACACACAGAAGUACGUGGUGACGUUCACAACGAGCCAGUCGUACAUAGAGGUGCCAGGCUGGCGGAAGGGGGACAUAGCGUUCAGUUUCCGGACGACCGGAGAGAAGGCCAUACUCCUCUACCAGCCUCCCAUCCGCCCUAAACAUCCUUCGUUCAUGGUUGCUCUUACCAGCGAUUUUGAGUUGACGUUCAACUUCACCCUGAACACGGGUGUGUCACGUGAACUGGAGAUCAAGUCACAGCGUCGCCUGAACAGCGGCGAGUGGCAGAAGAUAUGGAUCGACUACAACAGGCAUCAUGUCCGAUUCAUGAUCAACACUGACUAUCAGAUGGUCGAUCUCAAGCCACACGAGGAGUUUGGGCCCUUUGAGGGCAGUAUGUUCAUUGGCGGUGCUACUGACGACCUGUUGGUAGAGCGUUCCGUGCACCAGGGUCUGAUAGGCUGUUUUCGUGGCUUGGUGGUGAACGGCGAGAUCCUAGACAUCUACUCCUACAUGAGUGUGCACCUCUCGGAAAUCAUCAAGGACUGCAAACCCUCCUGCGACCCAAACCCCUGCAAGAACGGCGCCAAGUGCAAGGAGCUGUGGAGCACCUUCCAGUGUGUCUGCGACAACCCCUGGGCGUACAUCGGCACCUACUGCGAGACUAACGUGAACGAAAUAGGCAUGACGCUGGUGACACGCGACUCAUUCUUCAAGAAGAACUACGUGUCCAGCCUCGCUUCGCCCGCCCAGCUGGACGAGAAACACGCGUUCCGCGGUCUGCUGAACAGCGGGACAGUUCUGAUGAACCUGCGUACUUACACCGAUCACUCGCUGGUGCUACAUGCCAACGACCACCUCAACAAUUUCGUCCAGCUCUACAUUGACGGCAAGUUUGUCGUAUUCCUCUUCAACGCGGCUAAUAUCAUCAAGAAUAUUACUGUCCGCUAUCCAGGUCUGAACACUGGGAAAUCAGUGCAGAUAGCAAUUGUGCGGAAAUCUGAGGAGAUCACACUGCAUGUGAAUGAGAGAAACAGCACCAUUGCCGCCAACGUCACAUUUCUCACCGAAUAUUCCAAUAAACCCUGGCUCAAUCCUGAAAAAGAGGUGCUAGCCCCGCAGCGGCCCCCCGCUCCGCCCACGGACUACUUCCAGGUGAAUUUGGGGGGCUACGACCCCGAAAACCUGCUCAAUAUGAGAGAGGAUGCCCGCGCACUGGAUGGAUACAUCGGUUGCAUCAGGGGACUCAAAAUCGGAGACAAGUUGAUCGAUCUCCCCAACCAUAUCAACAAUUCCAACAAGGAAGAUGUGGAAGGUAUCAGAGCCGGAUGUCAUAUGAAGUGUGAUGAACUGCCCUGUAAAAACCAAGGAAUUUGCAUCGAGGACUUUCAGAAGGAAAUUAGUUCUUGCAAUUGCGAGAAAACGUCUUACUACGGCGAGUUCUGCGCUCAAGAGAAAGGAGCGGAUUUCAGCGGCGAAUCAGUGCUACAAAGGAAGUUCCCUCUAGAAGGUCCAGUGUAUCAAAUCAAAGUUCAGCUGGCGUUUUCAAGCAGUGAUGAUAGACAACGUAACGCUGCUCUACUUCUCAUACAAACCGUGCAUGCGAGAAACUACUAUUUAUUAGUGGCUCUGAGUGGUGAAGGAGAGUUGAUCUUUGAGGAGGACAGAGAUGGUGCUGUGUUUGGAGUGAGAGCGAAAGACAGGUUCUUUCUCAACGGCGCCAGGCAUUCUAUUUACUACAAGAGGACUAAUGAUACUGCUGUUCUAUUGAUCGAUAGAGAACCAGUAUUGCUGCAUCCUUUAUCUAAUAGCAACACAUUCUCUCAUGAUGAGAGCGAGGGCUCGAAUGAGCUGCACAUUGGAGGGCAUAAUACGAGUGACAGCCGCUUUAUCAACUACAAGAACUACAGUGGCUGCUUGUCCAAUGUAUUCCUGGACCUGAACCAGUACACGAUGAGACCUUUGGACGAGUACAUGCUGUUCACUAAGACCACAGAGGAGGUGAACGUCAUGAACUCAGUGGGCAUUCGCAGUGCGCAGUGCUCUUUCUUCGAAGUCACGCACAAGCCACGGCCCGGACCGCAACUCAACAACAGCAUUGGGAAGGACCAGCAGGCAUGGGUGGAAGACCCCCCCGCCAGAAUACCCUACAAGUCACAGUAUUCGGACCCCUCCACUGAGGAAGAGGGUACAGGACGAGUGUUAUUCAUAAUCGCACUGUCGGUGUUCUGCACUGUGAUACUGAGUACACUCUACCACGUCUACUGCAACCAUUUGCAGUACAAGAAGCGAAAAGAGCGCGAAACCGAGGCGGCCAUUUUGUGGCACAACGGUCAACAGGUGCAGUUCCAGGAUCCUGUCCUGGUGGGUCCUUCCCUCAAAGUCGUCCGCUCCAGGAGUGACGAUGCCAUGAAGUCAGUGUACACGAACGGCGCUGACCUAAAGCCGCUGACUAAGGGCGAUUACAAAGCUAUGCUCAACUCUCCAGCUGUUGUCAGAUUUAGAACUCACGACCAGGACGCUCCUCCCAAAGCCAAUGGGGUCACUUUUCAAGACUCCAAUGGUUCAGAAAACGGGAGUAGGAGUGGUCUAGCUGGUAGAGAAGAUACUACUCGUCCAUUGUUAGAGAAAGUGGUAGAAGUGCCAGUGAAUGGAACAAUCAAAGAAGAAGACGAAGAAGAACUUCAGAAGGACGAGAGAACGGCGGAAGAGGGGGGGAAGGAUGUGACAAUCCAAGUGAUAGCAGAAGUAGAGGGGGAAGAAACGGAUGCUGCAACCAAAGAUGAAGAAGGAGGAGGGGUGAGAGAGGAAGCAGAGGAGAGGCUGAGCGAUAAUGAUCUCAAUUCAGUCUACAGCAGCGAUAAGCAUCAGAAUACUUUACACUACAGUAUUGAUGAGUUAGGCAGUAUUGAAUUCACCUCCGCGCCAUAUGCAUAAAUCAGUCACUAGACGAGCUUAGAAAUUCUAAAGAUUCCAAAGACAUUUCACCAGAACAAGCCUGGUUUAUGAGAAUGAAAAGCGUAGUGCCUAAAGUGUCAACUCCUUUCGUUUUGCCUGAUGGCUCUAGAACUUUUUCUAAUCCUAUAAGUUACUUAGGCGGACCUAGCCUAGGCUCUAGCAACCAGUCUAGGCUAAGCAAAGAGUCUAUUCUGUCUAUAGAUUAAUAAAUUAUUAGCAUAGUCAAUAAACUAUAUUAUUAAUAAUUAUAACUAGAUGAACACUGUGAUAAUUUUAUUGGAUUAUUUCAAUUUUACUGUACCGUUUUCAAAAGUUGAUAGGAUUCUAAAUGGAAGGUAGAAACUCAAAUAAAUGUGAAUGAAAAAUUGUGAGAGUAUGAUAUAUAUAUAUAUUUUUUAAUGGAAUACAAUGAAGGGUUGAAAAUAUAUUGUCAAUUUUAAAUGCUGACAUAGUUUUUCAAAUUGUGAUAAUGAAUUAUUCAUGAAACUAUUAAUUUAUUAUGGUAUACAAUGAGCUUAUAAAACACUGCAAAUUAUGUGUAUAGGGUAAGGUUGUAGGGCAAGUAAUAGAGUCUUUAUUCAAAUCUUCACAUAAUCUCUUUUGUGUCUUGAGAAUAAAAUACAACCACGGAACAAUCAGUUCAAUUAACUGAACCAACAAUUAGAAGAUUAUAUUAGAAUGUUAAAAUCAAGGAUCAAUCAAUCAUUUUCUGACAAUAGAUUGCUAAUAUUGUUUAGAAUAAUUAAGGGUUUUAAAACUCAUAUAAUAUUGUGUCCUAUAGUAUUAAUAUCAAUAUUCUUGAUACUUUUUAAAAUUUUAAUUUUUAAUUGAAUCAAUUUCAGUUUUAGAGAAAAUUUUCAAUUCAAUUCUCAUUUCAAAUCAUUUACAGGAGUUUCAAUGCUAAAAAUGAUACUAAUCGCAUACAUAAAAUAAAUAAACUAUUAUUAAUAUGAAAAAACUAGUAUUAAAAUGUAAGCUGAAAAUAUUUUGAAGAUUAGGGUAACAGUAGAGUCUAAAACUUUCAUAAAAAUAAAUUUUUGAACAGAAUGUUCAGGCUAUCAUUGAAUAAGCUCACAUUCAUAAAUAACUGUUUAAUAAUUAGCUAUAGAUAAUAAUUAUGACUUUGAUAAAAUAUAAUAAAAAUAUAAAUAUGACUUUGAAUUGAAAAUAUAAUAAUGACUUUGAAAAUUUUUUGAGAACAAAUUUUCGAAUAGAACAGCCUUGUAAAUUUAAAAUAAUCCAAUAGCCUAAUGUAAAAUAAUAUAGAAUAAUAAAUUAUGAACUCUAUAAGAUAAAAUAAAUUAAUCAAAUCAUUUAAUAAAAUUGUAGAAUUCAUAGUCAAAACAAUGGAUUUAAGGUAUGAAAAUGGAUGACAAAAGCAAUGGAUUUAUCAUACAGGAGAAUAUAUUUAAUUAAGCUUGCAAUUGUUGUUAGAAAGGUUAUCUUCAAUUAGUCUCUAAAAAACGAAACAAUGCCACUUUCAUAAGAGCCUACCUUAAUGGUAUAAUGUGAAUAUUUUGUAGCAAUAAAAGAAGCAGUAAUUGAAAAAAGAAUUUAGCUCUAAGUAGCCUACCUACGGUAAAAUAUAGCUGCAGUCUGUACCGUAACUUAUAGUAUUAUGUCAUAUAUUCUCAACUCCAGAAUAAGUUAGGUUCGGAAAGGCAGUAUAAUAUUAAAAACAAAUACCUUGUCUCGCACUAACUUAUCCUAACUGAAACAAUUUGACGCAUGUUUAGAACGUGAGAUCUUUAAAAUUUUCGUAAAUCAAUUUAUUUUUGAUCAAGAGUUUUUGUGAAAAAAUUAUCCUUCCAUAUUAUAGACUUUGGUCAAUCAAUAUAAGAUAAUAAAUCUAGUUUUAUCCUGAUAAAUUAGAUGUAGGUAGCCUAUUAUUUUUUAAUGUUGUUAUAAAUAAAAGUAUUUAUUCUAUUUUUGUAAAUACUCUACUGUGAAAUUGUGAGUUGAAUUAUUGAAACAGAGUUAACUCAUGCUAAGUGUUGCAUCCUAACAUUUGAACGAAAAUUGUCAAGGAAAGAUGAGAAUAGUGUUCAUGAAAUUUUACGAAAAACUAGUACCGUAAAAAUAGUUUUGAGAAUAUUAUUAGGUAUUAUUGUAGUGCUCUAUUAAAUUGAAUCAUCGUAUACUUGUA